This is a long non-coding RNA of Melopsittacus undulatus (budgerigar), 592 nucleotides long. RefSeq lists it as uncharacterized. The record is from RefSeq and is a predicted model, not a curated record. The transcript has 3 exons. Lineage: Eukaryota; Metazoa; Chordata; Aves; Psittaciformes; Psittaculidae.
UCUAACCUGAAACGCGGGGCUCAGACCACACUGCCCCGCAAGCCGGCGCCAUGGGCAACCUGCGCUCCUCCCUCGGCCCCCCCGCACGGUGCCCCUGCCGCCGCCGCCGCUGCUGCAGGGCGGGAUAGAACGGAUCGAGGCGAGGAGAGACAAGAUGGCGGCUGUUCCGGAGAGGAGGAGACUGAGAAGCAGCAGGCGAGGCGGCGUGUGCCCUGUUUAUAGUAGCACUGCAGUAGCACCGAGACCCUUCGGCACAAAUGAGUGAGAGCGGAUGGUGCCCUGCUGCACUGCACCAAGUGCUGACUGGGCCACGGAAACUGGUAUGCAGGCAGCUUUAAGAGGUAAUGGGAUAUGUCACACCAAUGGUAAACUGAGACUAAGGAUCAGCCCUUGAAGCGGCACUGUACUUGAAGUGGUACUGUGAGGAAGCCACAGUACUGAAAGCCAUCAGUGCUUGACUGCACAAGACCAUGCCUCUCACAGAAGGCAAAUGAUGUUUUAUUUCAAAAGCUUUAUGAAAUGUAAAUUCAGUUACAUCCUUUCGAGUUUCUUCUUUGCAGGGCAACAAUAAAACAAUGAUGGACUUUUCUUA